CAAUAGCGUAUAUUAAAGUUGUUGCAGUUAAAAAGCUCGUAGUUGGAUUUGUGGCGUAUGGUGGGUUCUGGGCACUUGUUGUCUGAGUAACUUGCCGUUGCCAUCCUUGGGUGGAACCUGUGUGGCAUUAGGUUGUCGUGCAGGGGAUGCCCAUCGUUUACUGUGAAAAAAUUAGAGUGUUCAAAGCAGGCUUAUGCCGUUGAAUAUAUUAGCAUGGAAUAAUAAGAUAGGACUUUUUGGCUAUUUUGUUGGUUUGCGCUAGAAGGUAAUGAUUAAUAGGGAUAGUUGGGGGUAUUCGUAUUCCAUUGUCAGAGGUGAAAUUCUUGGAUUUUUGGAAGACGAACUGCUGCGAAAGCAUUUACCAAGGAUAUUUUCAUUAA
This 380-nucleotide ribosomal RNA is filed under the name uncultured eukaryote. RNAcentral describes it as "partial 18S ribosomal RNA". It matches the Rfam family "Eukaryotic small subunit ribosomal RNA", at positions 592 to 976 of the family's 1831-position model. The record is from RNAcentral.